RNAcentral lists this ribosomal RNA (506 nucleotides) under uncultured bacterium. RNAcentral's name for it is "bacterial SSU rRNA". It matches the Rfam family "Bacterial small subunit ribosomal RNA", at positions 28 to 507 of the family's 1533-position model. The record is from RNAcentral.
GACGAACGCUGGCGGCGUGCUUAACACAUGCAAGUCGAACGGAGAUUAUUAAUGAAGCUUGCGAUUUAAUAAUCUUAGUGGCGGACGGGUGAGUAACGCGUGGGCAACCUACCCAUAAGCGGGGGAUAACAGUUGGAAACGACUGCUAAUACCGCAUAAGCUAUUGAGGUCGCAUGACCUAAAUAGUAAAGGUGGCGAAAGCUAUCACUUAUGGAUGGGCCCGCGUCUGAUUAGCUAGUUGGUGGGAUAGCAGCCUACCAAGGCAACGAUCAGUAGCCGGCCUGAGAGGGUGGACGGCCACACUGGGACUGAGACACGGCCCAGACUCCUACGGGAGGCAGCAGUGGGGAAUAUUGCGCAAUGGGGGAAACCCUGACGCAGCGACGCCGCGUGAGCGAAGAAGGCCUUAGGGUCGUAAAGCUCUGUUGUAAGGGACGAAAUGUUUAACUGGCGAACAGUCAGAUAAAGUGACGGUACCUUACCAGCAAGCCCCGGCUAACUACGUG